This 411-nucleotide ribosomal RNA is filed under the name Carnobacterium maltaromaticum. RNAcentral describes it as "bacterial SSU rRNA". It matches the Rfam family "Bacterial small subunit ribosomal RNA", at positions 1 to 396 of the family's 1533-position model. The record is from RNAcentral. Lineage: Bacteria; Bacillati; Bacillota; Bacilli; Lactobacillales; Carnobacteriaceae.
UUAUAUGAGAGUUUGAUCCUGGCUCAGGACGAACGCUGGCGGCGUGCCUAAUACAUGCAAGUCGAACGCACGAAGUUGAAGAGCUUGCUCUUUAACCAAGUGAGUGGCGGACGGGUGAGUAACACGUGGGUAACCUGCCCAUUAGAGGGGGAUAACAUUCGGAAACGGAUGCUAAUACCGCAUAGUUUCAGGGAUCGCAUGAUUCUUGAAGGAAAGGUGGCUCCGGCUACCACUAAUGGAUGGACCCGCGGCGUAUUAGCUAGUUGGUGAGGUAAUGGCUCACCAAGGCAAUGAUACGUAGCCGACCUGAGAGGGUGAUCGGCCACACUGGGACUGAGACACGGCCCAGACUCCUACGGGAGGCAGCAGUAGGGAAUCUUCCGCAAUGGACGAAAGUCUGACGGAGCAACG